Molecule: unclassified non-coding RNA, 2254 nt
Filed under: Hevea brasiliensis (rubber tree)
Lineage: Eukaryota; Viridiplantae; Streptophyta; Magnoliopsida; Malpighiales; Euphorbiaceae
Source: RNAcentral
GCUGCAUCAGAUAUAGAUAAAUGCUCCAGGCACUUUUAAACCAUAGUUGGAACAGAAUUUUCAAUGAAAUUUCCUUGUACGCACCUCUCAUUACAAGACAACAUUGCCUGAGAUUCUCCAAACAAGGAUAAUAUUACCAGGACAAAUGAAUGAUGGAUAUAAUGGGCACUAGCACCAUUAACAAAUGAUGCCAUGCCCUGGGUGUUCCCAUCGUAUAAUGGCAGGAAGCUCAUGGAAACAUAAGCAUAGAAUACAGAGAUGUUGCUAGUAUGGUUCAACUUUGAAAGGUGCACUCUAGAUUGUUGUCAGCUCACCGUCAACUUCCUCCGGGAUCAUUUGCGCAGAUGAACCAGUUGAGAACCCCAACUUUAGCAUGAUUUCUUCCAAACGAUUUACAUUUGUGAGGUACAAGUAGCCAACCUACAAAAUGUAUUGCAACUAAGUAGAAUCCAGCCAGUAACUAAUUUCCACAUCACGAAUAAUGACAUUUCUGAGGACAUCAAGGCAAAUUGGAUAGCCAAUUGAUUAAGCAAAUUCGUAUAUCACAAAUAACCACACAACAUAACUCAUAUCGCCUGAACUACCUCUACACCAGCCCUUAAGACUUUCAUGUCUAGUAUUUAAAUGCAGUAAGUAGGAUAUCUGGUGCUAUCUAGGUUUUUAAAUAACAGAACUGAUCGUGGUGUUGCAGAAUUGGAGUGAAUUGCACAUGUACCAUAAUUUUAAAAAGAAAAAAUAGAUAAAAAAAAGGCUCAAAUCAACAUUAAACCAAUAUAACUAAAUAUCAUAUAAUCUUGCAGAUCUAACAAUUUAUAAAUAAAAUAAAUAAUCAAAGAAAUACAAGGUUAUUUAAAAAAAAUCAUAUUUUAUAUGAAUAGGUUAAAAUACUAAAUUAUAAGAAAAAUAGGGGUCGGAGAAGGUCCAAGUAAAUGAAUUCUGAAAUUGCUUGUGCGUGAAAACAAUAACCUUUUUUACAAGGCUAAAAAUAAAAAUCUAAUGAAUGGAAGCCCACUAUGCAUAAUGAUUGUUUUUCUUUAAGCACUGCCAUUUAGACAGAAAAUGGAUGUAAACUUAACCAAUUGUAUUUCAAAGGAUCACUGAUUAUGAUAGAACCAAGGUAAAAGAGCACAGACUAGUGUUUCCAGUGAAGAUGCUCUGUUAUAAACUGCUGCUCCAGCACGCUUUUUUGUCCGCGUUUUAGCUGAACCAACAUUCUUUCCCCACCGAAGAACAUCUCUUUCUUCAGCUGAUAGGCAAUUAUCGUUAAGAAGCUUCUGGAGCAAUGCAUCCUGAUUGAACAAAAUAUUAGAAUGACUACAAGCACAAAUAACCAUAAUAAUUUAAAGGAUAAAUGACUAAGAGCUUUGUUGAAGUCUGGCAAUAAUGUACACUUUCAUCCCAACAGCUCCAAAAUUAGUUAUUUUGGUCCUGAAAGUUUGUUAAUAGCUUACAUUUUAGCCAUUGAUUACAAAAUUAUAAACCUUUCAUUAAAUUUUAGUCAUAACAUUUUAAAUUAGACCACAAUUUAGUCCUUGAAAUUUCAAAUUUUAAUUGCAGUUUAGCCCCUAAAUUAUUUUACCAUAGAACACUUUAAUGACCUCAAAAUCAUAUAAUAAACAAGGGCUAAAACUGCAAAUUUCAAACAAUAGACACCAAAAUGUAUAUUAUGCAAACCUUAAGGGCUUUUCAUAUUACCUUAAUUUAAAAAUACAAUUUUAAAUCAAAUAAUGUCAUAAGAGGUAAAUCCAUCAGAUGGAACCUGUAUAUAUCUAGUAAGCUCCUAAUUUAGGUACAAUGGCGGAGGUAAAAGAGAAAGAAAGAAGCAAUGGUAAAAUUCACUAUGUUUUAUCAGUCAAAAACCAUUUAUCAACCCAUUCACCAUCUGGAUAUCUAAAAUUAACAUCAAACACCUAAAGUGCAAAAGGGGAGAAGAAUUUAUAAAAGCAUAUAAAGAAAAAUUACAUCACAAGAAAGAGAUUGUCAAUGUACCCUUAAAUAGUACGUGAAAUAAAAUACACAUUCAUUUAAGAGCUACAUGAAUAGACUCCAAAGAGGAAACAUUUAACUCCUAAUAUUAGAAUUGCUGCCACUAAAUACAUAUAUUAUAUUCAGCAGCUGAAAAGUGGAUUAGAAAAUUGCCUUAUUUCCCUUACUAGAACUAUGCACAUCAACUGAAGUUCAUACAUUACAUCUUAGGUUAAACAACAAAUUUGAGAUGAUGAAGGAUUUUAUUUUGUGUUAAUUGAAAGUAAGG